UACGUAGGGGGCAAGCGUUGUCCGGAUUUAUUGGGCGUAAAGAGCGUGUAGGCGGCCUUACAGGUCAGCUGUGAAAACUCGAGGCUCAACCUCGAGACGUCGGUUGAAACCGUAAGGCUAGAGUCCGGAAGAGGAGAGUGGAAUUCCCGGUGUAGCGGUGAAAUGCGCAGAUAUCAGGAAGAACACCCGUGGCUAAGGCGGCUCUCUAGUACGGUACUGACGCUGAGACGCGAAAGCGUGGGGAGCGAACAGG
This 253-nucleotide ribosomal RNA is filed under the name uncultured bacterium. RNAcentral describes it as "partial 16S ribosomal RNA". It matches the Rfam family "Bacterial small subunit ribosomal RNA", at positions 524 to 776 of the family's 1533-position model. The record is from RNAcentral.